RNAcentral lists this long non-coding RNA (1692 nucleotides) under Homo sapiens (human). RNAcentral describes it as "HSALNT0128966". Lineage: Eukaryota; Metazoa; Chordata; Mammalia; Primates; Hominidae. The record is from RNAcentral.
ACUUGAACCAAAUUGAUUUGGAUAAGAUUUAUUGAUCAGAUUGUUUUAGAAAACCAACAGCAAAACACUGACAAGGUACAUAAAUACAGAUUGGACAUUUUAGGGUAAAUUCACUGUAUUUCCUACUUGCUUGUAGGAAACCGAGUAAAGUGGAAAAGCUGUCCUGAUCAUAUGGCAUGCACACCAGACUGCAAAAGGACGUCCACACUAUUUAACAGGACUGUGGCAAAAUAGCUUUAAAGUAAGGCGAGCAUUGUGUAUGGCCCAAGCAUACCCUGUAGGAAGAGCAAAGCUAGGCUCACCUCUCAGAGACUGUGUCUCAGAAAGAGGCUUCCUUUCUUGCCUAGGUUCUUCCAUGAAAUUCGUCAUUGGCAGGUGCUUUUCCAGGGAGAUGCCUGUGCUCUCCCUGGAAAGGCCAUUGCUGGGCAGGAUCUGGUGGCAACGCACACGGAAGUCCUAGAACUCUAUGAAGCCUACCUCAGGCCCUGCGGGUGCGUCUGGAGUUCCAAGGCAUUUGGGGAACCAAAGCAAUUUCAGCUAACAGUGACCAGUUUUUAGAAUGGAGCUUAUGAUCAGAGGACCAUAAACCCUCAUCCACCCUAGAGCUCAAUGCCAGAAAAAUAAAAAAUAAUACAAAAAAUAAAGGAAAAUAGCUUUUUGUGCUAUAUCAGAAUGCUGGCAGGUAGACAAUUCAGUAACCUGUGCCACUUUCUAAACAUCUGUAAGACCACAAAAAAAAAAUGGGUUUUACAGAAUACGAAGACCAACACAGUCUUAGAGGAUCAUUCAACCUUUCCUACAUGCCAAGCUGUGUGAUUGGAAAAUAGAAGAGCCAUAGCUCUUGCAAGAUUAGAGGAAAAGCAAGUAUUUGUCAAGAGCCAAAGAAAUGUGUUCAAAUAAUGGAGUUUCCUCUGUGUCGCACACAGCUUUUCCUUCCCGUAGGUACUAAGAGUUCUUUGGUGGUUAGAGAGAUGGCCUGGAGCUCAGGGCAGGAGAUGACGCUGAAGAGCUACAUCUACUCAGGAUUACCACCUGUGGUUCCUAAUUUCAGCAUUCAACUCUAAUUGUUCAGCCUGACUAAUUACAGGCAAUCAGCUGCUUAUAUGGUCACUGGUUGUCAGCUCCUACUGAUUAUUCCUUUUCCUUUUCUACCUACUCAUUAACCCCAUUCCAUGGAAAAACAGGUGCUUACAGGAAAGGAUAGGGAGGAAAAAGAAAUGUAAAUGAAUCUAUUGUUUGGUAGGAAAGUUGAUUCACUGAUUAUCUAUGGAUUUCAAUGAUCUGUGCUUUACUCUUGCUACUGUGGAUAACCAAAGGUCACUGUUAACGUAUCUUUUGCUUAAAAAUGUUAAUAUGCUUAUUAUGCUUUAAAAUCUAGCUAUUUAAGGGCAUGAAUGGUUUAAAGCAAAUUUUUACAUCAUGUCAUUAUGGCCCUGAAAAAAGGAGAUUCUGCCAAUGGAAAGGGUUUUGUUUAGCCCCAGUUAAGAUUUCAACCUAUUCUGUGUCAGUUUAUAGUUUUUCCAGGAUGUGGAAAAUAUUAAAUGAAGAAAGCAUCAUUUUCUUCAUUUAAUAAAGUAUUACAUUCCCAGAUAAAUUAGUAUAUACAUAGGAGAAUGGUUAGUGUUAAAUACUAGGUUUUAAUUCUCCGUUUAGGAAACUCCUUACAGAUGGACUUCCUUGUUCUCCGGCAAC